GACGAACGCUGACGGCGUGCUUUAGACAUGCAAGUCGAACGAGAAAGCCCUUCGGGGUUAGUAAAGUGGCGAACGGGUGAGUAACACGUGGGCAAUCUGCCCUUCGUUGGGGGACAACCGGGGGAAACCCCGGCUAAUACCCCGUAAGCUUGUCGGGUCGCAUGGCCUGACAAGGAGAGGUAGCUUCGGCCAUCCGGCGAAGGAGGAGCCCGCGGUACAUUAGCUAGUUGGUGAGGUAAAGGCCCACCAAGGCGACGAUGUAUAGCUGGUCUGAGAGGAUGAUCAGCCACACUGGGACUGAGACACGGCCCAGACUCCUACGGGAGGCAGCAGUCGGGAAUCUUGCACAAUGGGCGAAAGCCUGAUGCAGCAACGCCGUGUGAGCGACGAAGGCCCUAGGGUCGUAAAGCUCUGUUGUUAGGGACGAAGGGCGAAGGGUUAAUAGCCCUUAGCCUGACGGUACCUUUCGAGGAAGCCCCGGCUAACUACGUGCCAGCAGCCGCGGUAA
RNAcentral lists this ribosomal RNA (508 nucleotides) under uncultured bacterium. RNAcentral describes it as "partial 16S ribosomal RNA". It matches the Rfam family "Bacterial small subunit ribosomal RNA", at positions 28 to 523 of the family's 1533-position model. The record is from RNAcentral.